RNAcentral lists this unclassified non-coding RNA (647 nucleotides) under uncultured Prochlorococcus sp. Its description in RNAcentral is "partial 16S-23S ribosomal RNA intergenic spacer; may also contain 16S ribosomal RNA and 23S ribosomal RNA". The stretch from base 305 to 377 matches the Rfam family "tRNA". Lineage: Bacteria; Bacillati; Cyanobacteriota; Cyanophyceae; Synechococcales; Prochlorococcaceae. The record is from RNAcentral.
UUGUGGAGGAGGACGCCGAAGGUGGGGCUAAUGGCUGGGGUGAAGUCGUAACAAGGUAGCCGUACCGGAAGGUGCGGCUGGAUCACCUCCUAACAGGGAGACAACAAAAUGUUUAAUAUUAUUAUUUUGUCACCUUAGGUCGAUCGGUAUCUCACGUUUUUAAUUUUUUAAGAAUUUCAUUUCCUAAGUUUUUCUAGGUCACACCCAUUUUUUUUCCUGGGCCAUUAGCUCAGGUGGUUAGAGCGCACCCCUGAUAAGGGUGAGGUCCCUGGUUCAAGUCCAGGAUGGCCCAUAUCUCUAUGUUGGGGGUAUAGCUCAGUUGGUAGAGCGCCUGCUUUGCAAGCAGGAUGUCAGCGGUUCGAGUCCGCUUACCUCCACUGAUUACCACCUCUUCCAUAACCGGUAGAAAGGAAAUUUUUUGAGUUGUGAUCAAAUUCUGAAAGAAUCUAGCUUCCUAAUGAAAUCAUUAAGAUGCUGGACUCAUUGAAUUAAUUUCAUUGUUUUCAGAGAACCUUGACAACUGCAUAGAUUAUUUUUAAAGACAAUAAGCAUCUUUAAUGAUGCAGAUUUAUUAUUUGUGCGAAUGCAUUAAUAACAAUUCUAUUAAGCUGAUGCUUCAAUUUUUGAAGUUAUUGGUCAAGCUACAA